RNAcentral lists this ribosomal RNA (484 nucleotides) under uncultured bacterium. Its description in RNAcentral is "partial 16S ribosomal RNA". It matches the Rfam family "Bacterial small subunit ribosomal RNA", at positions 30 to 507 of the family's 1533-position model. The record is from RNAcentral.
AUUGAACGCUGGCGGCAGGCCUAACACAUGCAAGUCGAGCGGAUGAAGGGAGCUUGCUCCUGGAUUCAGCGGCGGACGGGUGAGUAAUGCCUAGGAAUCUGCCUGGUAGUGGGGGAUAACGUCCGGAAACGGGCGCUAAUACCGCAUACGUCCUGAGGGAGAAAGUGGGGGAUCUUCGGACCUCACGCUAUCAGAUGAGCCUAGGUCGGAUUAGCUAGUUGGUGGGGUAAAGGCCUACCAAGGCGACGAUCCGUAACUGGUCUGAGAGGAUGAUCAGUCACACUGGAACUGAGAAACGGCCCAGACUCCUACGGGAGGAAGCAGUGGGGAAUAUUGGACGAUGGGGGAAAGCCUGAUCCAGCAAUGCCGCGUGUGUGAAGAAGGUCUUCGGAUUGUAAAGCAAUUUAAGUUGGGAGGAAGGGCAGUAAGUUAAUACCUUGCUGUUUUGACGUUACCAACAGAAUAAGCACCGGCUAACUUCGUG